This 85-nucleotide transfer RNA is filed under the name Felis catus (domestic cat). It matches the Rfam family "tRNA". Rfam says of the family: Transfer RNA (tRNA) molecules are approximately 80 nucleotides in length. Their secondary structure includes four short double-helical elements and three loops (D, anti-codon, and T loops). The record is from Rfam by way of RNAcentral. Lineage: Eukaryota; Metazoa; Chordata; Mammalia; Carnivora; Felidae.
GCCCGGGUGGCUCAGUUGGUUGAGCGUCUGACUUCGGCUCAGGUCAUGAUCUCAUGGUUUGUGAGUUCGAGCCCUGCACCGGACU